RNAcentral lists this ribosomal RNA (669 nucleotides) under Triticum aestivum (bread wheat). Its description in RNAcentral is "partial small subunit ribosomal RNA". The record is from RNAcentral. Lineage: Eukaryota; Viridiplantae; Streptophyta; Magnoliopsida; Poales; Poaceae.
AUGUCUGAGGAAAUUAAGACGAAGUUUGAGAAGUAUUGGAAAGAAGUCCGUGGUCUUAUGUUUGUGGCAAUAGUCCUUGAUCCAAGAUAUAAGCUUCAUAUGUUGCAAGCUUUGUUUGGCUCUCUCUAUGGGUUUGAACAUGCAACUAUAGAAGUGGAGAAAAUUAGAAAGUUAAUGGGUGAUUUGUUGCUAGAAUAUCAAGCAUCUGAUGGUGGUGUGGGUACCUCAGAGUCACGAGUAGGUAGGAGUGUUUCUACCCAAGAUGAAAUGGGGAAUAUAUUUAAACAAUAUAUGUCCUCGAAGCCUGUUAUGAGUGCUUCUCGUGUGCGGACAGAACUGGACUUAUAUUUGGAAGAGGAAAUUACCCAUAGGCCAGAGGGUCUCGACAUCAUCAAUUGGUGGCAGUUUGGAGGUAUCAAGUAUCCUACAUUGCGAAGAAUGGCUCAUGAUAUACUAGCCAUUCCUGUAACAACCAUGGCGUCGGAAUCUGCCUUCGGUACUAGUGGGAGAAUACUAAGUGCAUGUAGAUGUUCACUUGCACCAAACAUGACCGAAGCUCUUAUGUGUAUGCAAGCUUGGUCCCGUGCAAACAUGUUAGGCGAUAAUCUAGUUGAAUCAUGACUCGUCUUUCCAUACACUAUUAUUUCCUUGCUAUAUGUUAAUAUCUAA